Rosa rugosa (rugosa rose) is the source of this 4789-nucleotide long non-coding RNA. RefSeq lists it as uncharacterized. The transcript is spliced from 12 exons. NCBI's taxonomy places the organism in Eukaryota, Viridiplantae, Streptophyta, Magnoliopsida, Rosales, Rosaceae. The record is from RefSeq and is a predicted model, not a curated record.
UGAAUGUUGGUACAAAAGCUAUACGCUCUGAAACAAAUUUCACUUUCCAAGAAAAAUAUGGCCUCAGUUUCCAGAUCAUGCUAAAAAUAUCUGCUUUUGUCGGAUUCUAGACUCAUCCAAGUUCUCUGGCUAUUUACACUUGUACCAUCUACUCUAAUUCUAUAAAGCGUGCCAUUGACUCAGUAGCUUCUUCGGGAAGGUGAAGAAACCGACGGCAGUUGCUGCACUGUUUCAGAUCUGCAAUCAACAUCAGCUUUUACAAAAAUCGGGUGGGUUAAACAUGAUCAUAAAGACUUGAGGAGAUCAAUCAGGAAAAUUUUGACAGUAAAUACGGUAUACUGUGGCACACUGGUCAAGUCUCUAUCAGCAAACAUAACAACUGCAACUCGACCCACCUGCUCUCCUGCAAAAGAUGGUAAUGAACAAGGUCGUAAGGGCACCAGGGAUUAUAGACAACAUUAAAAGAUCAGUUUGUAGACUAUUAAAUGUAAUUCCAGCUACAGACAGUUUUAACAUCAAUGCUCCUAAUUUGUCUACAAGUUGGAGAGGGUGGUUCAUAUAUGUCUACAAGGAAGGAUGAGACCUGGGUGAGCCAGACAGAAUUGUCAGCAAACUGUUGCAGCCUAGGGUCUAUGUGAAAUUGAUUAAUCUGGGUCUUGAGGUGGCCUUCAUCUCUGUUCAACUGAAGCCCCUCAGUUCGAUUUGGAGUUUUCAUGCAAAUGUAGAAGAAAGAGAUCCAAGAUUUCAGAACCAACCCAUCUUUUUGAACGAAGUUUACGAAAGAGGUAGCACUGAAAACCGUGAUGGUUAUACACCACACUUUGAGGGAAGUUGAUGGUACAUUUUGUGAUGCUAAGUAUAGCUGGACUAGAGGUCAUAUUCUGAACAUAUCUCAUUUUCUUUUCAGUAAGAAUAAUAAAUGGCCAUGAAGAUUCUUUCAGACGAAGCAUGGACUAUUGUACCUGCAUUCAUUUAUAUGCAUCAUAUCUCGAAGAAUGACUGGACUGUUUUCGUGUCCUGAAGUACGAUGUUCAGAAAGAUCACUUGAGAACCAAGGAACUUGAAACCCCAGACUUACUAAGGCAUCUACCUGCUUUGCAACAGCUUCUUUCUCGCCUUCUUGAUUGCCAGCCACAACUGUUACAUAUAGUCCCUAGCCUGAUUCAAUAUGCUAUUUCAAUGGUUGCAGGUAAAAUUGCCAAGUUGUAUGCUGCAGUUACAGAUGGUAUUGUCAAUUUAGUUAACAACGCAGGCCUUGGUUUUCUAUGUGCACAAUGAUGGGCAACUGCUACAAUUAAUGAUGGGCAAUACUUGAUGUUCUCAUAGAAUGGUUUCAUAGGAUGUUAUUGUAAACUGCAAUAAUGUAAACCAAACAAUUUUAGACGGAUGAAAUUUUGGCUCAUUUUAUCAUUCUGUCAUUAUUGUAAAUUAUUAGCAACAGCAAACCCCGCAGCAAAGCGCGGGCACUAUUGCUAGUAAUUAUACUAUAUUCUAAAGCCGAAUCCCUUGACUGUUCAUUCAACUGUUCCUAAGGGUGUGCAAUGACGGUAUUGCCCUCGAUUUUCUCUGAAUUACCAUGCUGCCAUUUCCCCACAAUAUAUAAGCAAAAUCCCUAAUUCUUUGAGUCUUCGGGAAGACCAUCAAGAUUGACAUUCACUGUUUCGCAGCAUCAAUCUGGAUUUAUUGCAGAAGAGGUGUAGAGAGAGAGAGAGAGAGAGAGAGAGGUAUCUGCGUCUGCAAUAGUUGCAGAAAGUGGAAGGAGGUUUUCUAAGUUUGGGAUUUUAGUGAUUGAUUGGGAGAGGUUGAAGGUAAUAUUGAUCUUACUCGAACAAGUGUGUCGGUCAAGCUGUUGGGUGCGAAGGCAGUUGAUAGAAGGUAAUUUAGAAAAAAGAAGAGGAGGAAUUCUGUCUUUUGCUUUUGUCUAAUAUCGGUGCUGCAACUAAAUUUGGAUUGUUUGAUAUCGCUUGAGGAGGGAUCAGAUUGGCUAGAUUCCAUACUCCUGGAAUGAAGUUUUAGGCUUUGAUUUUGUUUCUUAGUAUUAACGUUUCGUUCAACCUUUAAAGCAAGAGAAAAUUAAUAUAGACAGAGAAGAAAUUUGGUCGUCUAGAAGCUUUGUUUUGUUGUCUUUGUGUGUUAUUUAAUUGAUGGUCUAGGUGCGUUUUGUGAAACAUACAUAUGUUUUGGUUACAAUUGGAAUUUUGUCAUUUGUUUUUGUUGGGUUUUUUAUUUUUUAUUUUUAUUAUUUAUUAACUUGGAUCUAUUUAGGGUGCUGAUUAGAUAGUUUACUAAACAAUCAGUGGGCAAACAUAUACUCAAUAAUAUAUGAAACUCUGCCAAUGAAUUAGAUCAGUGCUAAACCCCCAUUGCAGAAAGGAAGGGAUGCCGGACAAAAACAAGCCUUUCGGACUUAAACGAAUUUGUCGGAGAAGGGGGGCUUUACUUUCUCGACCAUUAGGGAGGGGGAUAAAUCUUUCAUGCUUUACGGUAUUGCAGACUCGGAUAAGCUACUAUCAUUUAAGACAUUUAAUUUAAGAAUAGUUCCUUCGUAAAGCCACUCUCUUCUUCUCUGUGUUCAGAACCUUCUUCUUUAUGUCAUACUUUGAUAGGCAUUCUUUCCUGAUACCAGCUUGCUUAAAAUACCAGGUGUUAGCUGAAUCAUUCUCUUUACGAUUGAAAUACCAAGUUUUGUAAUAUGCAAAAUUAUAAUUGUAUUAUAUUAUGUAGAUCAAGAUUUGAGGGGUGAAAAAAAAAAAUUAAACCCGCAGCAUCGUGCGGGAGAAUUUUCUAGUAAUAUACUAAAGCUCGGUUGGUACUGUACACUGUUCAUCUUGAGCCGAAAUGAAGUGACGGUUUUGCCCUCGCUACUUGCCUCAACUACAGUCUUGCCAUUGUUUUACGAAUAAGGGCGAUGGAGGCUUCGAGAGACUGAUCGAGAGAGAGAUAGAGACAGCAACUCUGAGACAAAGGAAAACACCCAAAUACCCAAAUCGUUGAUCCCGAUUGUGCCACUACUGAUUCUUCCGUGUCUUCUACUUUUGCAGUCAUCAUCUGCUCGGUCGUUGAAUUCUUCUAUCUCUACAGUCGUGUAACCAAGAUUGAGAGAUUUUGUGAUCGGUGGAUUAUAGUUUGAAAAAUGGUUAGAGCAUUUCUCAGUUCGUGUAGAGGGGGCUGGGUUAUUUGGUUUUGUUCUGGUGGAGAGGAAGACGAAUUUGGGUUAGUGGUUUAAGGUAUCUGUUUUUGCUUUUUUAUUUUUUACUAAUCAAUUGAAAUCUAAUUGAUUCUUUAGGGUUGUCUAUAUUAAACUCGGUUUUGUUUAGUAGUUGUCUAUAUUAAACUCGGUUUUGCUUUUCUUUUCUUUUCUGCUUCCAACCUUUUCUUUUCUUUUUUGCUUCCAAAAAUCCUUAGGGUGGUUCUAGUUAGACCUCCAAAUUUGUUAUUUGGACCUCUCAUAUUUAGUACACCUCUAAUUUACUUUUUAGAAUACUUGAAAGGCUAAGUAGACCUUUUUAUUUUUAUCAAAACACCCUUGAACAUGAGAUACAACAAUCUUUUAUCUGAAUCUUCAACCACAAGAAGAAAAAUAAAUCAAAAUCAUAUGAUAUUGCUCUCUUAUGAGUAGGUCUCUCCUCCAUCAAAAUUAAUCACAGUGUUGGCCGGUUCUCAAUCUUGAUUAUGUUGGAAUCCCUUUGAAUUUGCUAAAAGAAGGAUUUCAAGGGUUUUGGGUUGGAAGGUUGAGUAAUAAUUAUAUCAUAAUAUUCAAUAAAUUUAGUUUAAGGAAAUUCCAAAUCAGAAUGUUUUGAAUUUAAUUUUGUAUUAAAUGAAAAUUAUUAUUUUUACUUAAUUGUUUUAGGUAAAUUAUAAAACUAUAUAGGCAAUAUAAGGAAAUUCAUGAAAAAAAAAUUAAUUGAAUGUUAUAUUUGGGAAGGUGAGAAGAGUAUUUAUUUAUUUAUUUAUUUUCUCUCAUUUUUAUCUCUUUGCCCUUAUUUGUCUUUUCAUAUAACUUGACAAAGUCUAUUAAUAAUUGAAAAAAGUUGGAGGUCCAAAUAUCAAAUUUGGAGGUCCAACUAGAAUCACCCGUGAAAAAAAUGGAAACAGGAAAAAAAAAAAAAAAAAAAAAAGGAAACUUAUUCAAAAAAAUGGGGAACAAAGGCAAAACACGGAGGUGCAACUGAGUUUUGAACUCGACAGGAGUAAGGAUGAGUAGCAAUGAGAAUUAGCUCUAAAAUAUAUAUAUAUAUAUAUAUUGUUUCGCUGAGGUGUCACAAAAUCAGAGGCCGCCCUUGUGCUGCGGCACCACCCACACACCCCAAGGCCGCCCCUGCCAAUACAAAUCACUGAUGGUCACAAUCUCACAAUACUUCACAACUUAUUUGAAAACCCUACUUUCCUCGAACAACUAGGAAUCAGAAAUUGCACCAAAUUGUUGGCUUUGCUGCAGGCGAUGUAUCACAAGCAAAAGAUAGCACAUGUUAGUGAGUGUUCUAAAUUGAGCAAAUGGUUCAGUAAGAAAAAAAAAAAUGAAGGAUCAGGGGUGGCCCAAUAUAGCACAUGUUAUAGAGGUUAAACAUUAGAAUGUAUUGCUUUUAUCAAUUUGGCUUUUUGUUUAUGGUAUAAAUUGUAGAGCUCAAGAGCUUCACCAAAAGAGUGCGGCAAAGGGAGGUGCUACUUUGGAAUGAAAUAAACCGGCCAUCAUAUGUUAAUAGAACUCAAAGUGAUUUUGUGUACGAGUGUGAUUGUAGAAGUGGCUUUUGUAUUUUCUUCUUUAUCGAUAUUGAUUUUCUUAUAUUCA